This 424-nucleotide ribosomal RNA is filed under the name uncultured bacterium. Its description in RNAcentral is "bacterial SSU rRNA". It matches the Rfam family "Bacterial small subunit ribosomal RNA", at positions 355 to 796 of the family's 1533-position model. The record is from RNAcentral.
UGGGGAAUUUUGCGCAAUGGGGGAAACCCUGACGCAGCAACGCCGCGUGGAGGAUGAAAUCCCUUGGGAUGUAAACUCCUUUCGAUCGGGACGAUUAUGACGGUACCGGAAGAAGAAGCCCCGGCUAACUUCGUGCCAGCAGCCGCGGUAAUACGAGGGGGGCGAGCGUUGUUCGGAAUUAUUGGGCGUAAAGGGUGCGUAGGCGGUUUGAUAAGUCUUGUGUGAAAUCUCUGGGCUCAACCCAGAGUCUGCACAGGAAACUGUCGGGCUUGAGUAUGGGAGAGGUGAGUGGAAUUUCCGGUGUAGCGGUGAAAUGCGUAGAUAUCGGAAGGAACACCUGUGGCGAAAGCGGCUCACUGGACCAUUACUGACGCUGAUGCACGAAAGCUAGGGGAGCAAACAGGAUUAGAUACCCCCGUAGUCC